Molecule: long non-coding RNA, 1457 nt
Filed under: Hordeum vulgare
Lineage: Eukaryota; Viridiplantae; Streptophyta; Magnoliopsida; Poales; Poaceae
Description: long non-coding RNA (HVUL_LNC019324)
Source: RNAcentral
AUCAGCCCUGGUGCUAAUUGAGGACUUAGAUGACACUGAACUUUUAAUACUUGAUCACACCAAGAACAUAUCACGAGAAAGCUGGCUUUCCAAGAUAAGACAAACCAAAAGGGCUAACAAAGCCAAAAUUUUGAAUGAAACUAUUGAGUUCAUUAGAGAUAGCAAAUUCACAAGUGGACACGCACGCCAUCUAGAUAAAACUUAAGUUUCUAAACUACUACAAGCCCGUUUGGUUGAAUGUCAUUGUUUUUUGCAGAGUAAUACUACUUUGUUGUAGUUUGUGUAUCAGACCCGACCACAGUUUUCUCUUGUGCAGGAUUAGCCGAGUCCUUCGGUUUCUCUAUGGUGGAGUGAGUCGGGUCAUCCAUCUUAUCUUCAUCUCGCUUCUCUUGGUCUCCAUCCUUGGACUUGGAGCUUCAUCCUUGCCGACUUCCUCAGCAUCCUUAUAGCCAACUCCUACGCCACCACAAGUAGCUCCCAUCAAAUCAUUGUUAAACCAAUGUAUUAAUAUAUAUCCCCUCAAUGGCACAACUAUCCUCAUCUUGGGAGUCCGUUCUAGGAGGAACGGGAUCACUGGUGUGCUAGAACUGGGUGGUGCAGAGGGAGUCAGCGGAGUCUGUUUUGGGUGCUUAGGAACAAGAUCGAACAUCUUGGGAUUUAGCGGCUCUAUACGCCUAUUGCGAGAAUCAUAUCUAGGCUAAAAUUGGGACAAUUCCAAACCACGUGCAAUUAUACAAGCAUAAUGUCAAGUCUCCUUAUUUACCCUAGAAAAGUGGGUUGCACCAAAGUAGUAUUGUCAAAUUUUAUUUCAGGAAACCCACCACCCAGCCAGCAUAUCUGGAUUCAUCUCUGGAAGAUAUGUCUUUGCCAAGGCUAUGACCGGCAUUUCUCCCUUAGGACAAGCAGAAAGCUUCAAAUCUUUAACCACUCUGGCAUAAUUAAUAGUUCUUCCAACAAAUCAAUCAAUUUUGUGGUAGCUGGACCCAACCUUUCACACUUCUUAUAACCUUUGCACUUCCAAUGUACAACAGCUUAAUUAGCAUGUACAAAGCCUUCAGUUUGAAGUCAUGCCGCUCGAGAUUGAUUGCACAUUUUUUAUCUAAAGAAGAUAAAAAAUAGAAAAUCUAGAGUUGGAAUUCAUGAGCAGGAAAGUAAUAACCCGGUUCAAUAAUAGAUAAGAGAAAAUUUCGGCUUACUGAAAGUGGCGAUGGAGAUCUUGUUCAGUUGGUUUUUAUGGUCGUGCAAUCCAAGUCCACAACAUUCAGUUUUUCCUCUACAAUUCCCGCUGGGUUAGAUUCUCCUCCUACCCUGGGAAUUUUUUUCUUGGCAUCUACAACUUUUGAGAAACCUUGAGUGUAGAUCCUUGGAUAUCUUGAGCCCGCUUCUUGGCCUUUUCACAUUUUCCGGCUUCUUUGCCAAGCAGCUAUUUCAAGUUCGCAAAUUCUUGCUCUACUUGC